Molecule: transfer RNA, 72 nt
Filed under: Rattus norvegicus (Norway rat)
Lineage: Eukaryota; Metazoa; Chordata; Mammalia; Rodentia; Muridae
Rfam family: tRNA
About the family: Transfer RNA (tRNA) molecules are approximately 80 nucleotides in length. Their secondary structure includes four short double-helical elements and three loops (D, anti-codon, and T loops).
Source: Rfam by way of RNAcentral
UGGGGUGUAGCUUGCUGGGAGAGCGCUUGCCUGACAUGUGUGAAGGCCCAGGUUCAAUCCCCGGCACCACGA